This is a long non-coding RNA of Mustela erminea (ermine), 615 nucleotides long. RefSeq lists it as uncharacterized. The record is from RefSeq and is a predicted model, not a curated record. Lineage: Eukaryota; Metazoa; Chordata; Mammalia; Carnivora; Mustelidae. The transcript is spliced from 5 exons.
GUCUCAUUCAAGGACUUGGAUCAGACAGCAGAGUAUGGAAUCUAUUGCCAAUGCCUGGCGGACAAGCCCAGAUCGGGCCUUAAAGUGGGAGGGAGGGUAGCACUCUUCAGAAGGACGGGGAAUAUAUUAGUGCAGGGCUUAAACUCACAAGCUGAAGAGGGAUUUGCCUGCCCCACCCACUGAGCCACCAGGACCCCAUUGUUAAUGUCUCCUUAUGCACCUGCAGAAGUACCUGUUUAAGGAAACAUGAAUGUAGAAGAAUGUUGACACUAUCCACCUGGGAAAAAAACAAAACAAAACAAAACAAACAAAAAAAACACACACAAAGGAAAAGUUGCCACCAGAAGAAGGAAAGCUCAUCUGCAUUUUGUGUAGUAAUCCUGUGGGAUUCCUUUCAAUGAACAGCAAACAGAAUUGGAGAAGAAAAGAAACCAGAAAAUCCAGAAAAGUUGUUAACAAACUGAGAAAAGCAGAAGAGGAAAAUAGAAUCAGAACUAUAAAGCAGAAAAAAGAACUUGGUUUGGUCUGGGGAUUUGAAACCCGAGAUUUAAGUUUUGACUCCAAAAUAUUGUUUAUAUCUUCCAAAUUCGGCGCAAACGGAGCUGUACCUGUGUC